Molecule: ribosomal RNA, 492 nt
Filed under: uncultured bacterium
Lineage: Bacteria
Description: partial 16S ribosomal RNA
Rfam family: Bacterial small subunit ribosomal RNA
Source: RNAcentral
GAUGAACGCUCGCUACAGGCUUAACACAUGCAAGUCGAGGGGAAACGACAUCGAAAGCUUGCUUUUGAUGGGCGUCGACCGGCGCACGGGUGAGUAACGCGUAUCCAACCUACCCAUCACUUGGGGAUAACCUUGCGAAAGUAAGACUAAUACCCAAUGAUAUCUCUAGAAGACAUCUGAAAGAGAUUAAAGAUUUAUCGGUGAUGGAUGGGGAUGCGUCUGAUUAGCUUGUUGGCGGGGUAACGGCCCACCAAGGCAACGAUCAGUAGGGGUUCUGAGAGGAAGGUCCCCCACAUUGGAACUGAGACACGGUCCAAACUCCUACGGGAGGCAGCAGUGAGGAAUAUUGGUCAAUGGGCGAGAGCCUGAACCAGCCAAGUAGCGUGCAGGAAGACGGCCCUAUGGGUUGUAAACUGCUUUUAUAAGGGAAUAAAGUGAGAGUCGUGACUCUUUUUGUAUGUACCUUAUGAAUAAGGACCGGCUAAUUCCGUG